GAUGAACGCUGGCGGCGUGCUUAACACAUGCAAGUCGAACGAGGAAGCCCAGCUUGCUGGGUGGGCUAGUGGCGAAGGGGUGAGUAACACGAGAGUAACCUGCCCUUAACUAUGGAAUAAGCAUGGGAAACAGUGUCUAAUACCGGUAAGGAGCGUCCACCGCAUGGUGGGCGUUGGAAAGAUGUAUCGGUUUUGGAUGGACUCGCGGCCUAUCAGCGUGUUGGUGGGGAAAUGGCACACCACGGCGGGGAGGGAUAGCCGGCCUGAGAGGGGGAGCGGCCACACUGGGACUGAGACACGGGCCAGACUCCUACGCGAGGCAGCGGUGGGGAAUAUUGCACAAUGGGCGGAAGCCUGAUGCAGCGACGCCGCGUGAGGGAUGACGGCCUUCGGGUUGUAAACCUCUUUCAGUAGGGAAGAAGCGAAAGUGACGGUACCUGCAGAAGAAGCACCGGCUAACUACGUG
This 466-nucleotide ribosomal RNA is filed under the name uncultured bacterium. RNAcentral describes it as "partial 16S ribosomal RNA". It matches the Rfam family "Bacterial small subunit ribosomal RNA", at positions 28 to 507 of the family's 1533-position model. The record is from RNAcentral.